ACGCCGACUUCGGCCGUCCGGGGUCGGAAGUUGUACGGCUUCUUAGGGGCAUUUAUGUCAUUUGGGAAAAAAUCUUAUUCCCCCCAACACUACCCCCCGACUUCCGAGUUCGAGCGACUUGUGGGCUCGGACGUGGGAAGUAAAGUCUGUCACUAAGGUUGGGGGGUGAGUCUCGUCCGCCCCCUUGCGCUUCUCGGAGCUUUCAUGGUGAAACCUGCGCCCUUUGGCGUCUCGAGGCUGCUUUAUUCAGUGAGCUUAUGAUGAAGCUCGUAUCAUUACGCUUCUUGAAGCGGAGGUGGCGUCCCUUGAAUCGCCAGGAUCGCUUUACGGUGGAUUAAUGAUGGGGGUCCUCGAGCUCGUCGAGGCGGUGCCUCGAUCCCGUAAUCGAGGCUUCUCGCUCAUUAAUGAGUGUGCCGUUACAGGGUUUAAAACGGACACGCGGCGUGACCCAAGGUCGGACGCUUCCGAUUUCGUGUUACUGGGUCAUAAUUCCGGAGAGGUGGAGGCUACAUCGAGGCUCCACGUGUCCCAGAUCUUAUUAAAUGAGGGGAGCGGGGGCGGCGUCCGCUCGUUCCUCAGGACGAUUUGAUUUUGCGGACCCAUGAUGAGGCCCCGAGAUCCGACGGGACAACGCUUAGAUUUCGUACCCGAUUUAUUAAUCCGGAGUGAAUACGGUGCCUCGGCUUCCGAGGUCGACACGUGGCGCAACCCGAUCGGGGGAUGG
This 724-nucleotide long non-coding RNA is filed under the name Phoenix dactylifera (date palm). Its description in RNAcentral is "long non-coding RNA (PDAC_LNC018908)". Lineage: Eukaryota; Viridiplantae; Streptophyta; Magnoliopsida; Arecales; Arecaceae. The record is from RNAcentral.